AUGUGGGCGGAAGACCACCAUGAGUGCCAGCUCUCCUGCUACCACAGAUACUGGCAGAAGGACUUUGGAAGCACACGUUUACCAUUAAACACAAUAAUGCACACAUUCUGGAGGAGAGCAGAAAUUGAAUUCUUCCUCGGCAUGAGAGACGAGGAAGAGGAACCGGCCGAGGAGGACUGCCCUGAGUUGGUUCCCAUUGAGGCGAAGGAAAGAGAGGAAGAGGAAAAGCUUGGCCCCGGCGCCAAGAUCCCAGUCACAAUCAUCACCGGGUAUUUAGGUGCUGGGAAGACAACACUACUGAACUACAUUUUAACAGAGCAACAUAGUAAACGAAUAGCAGUUAUUUUAAAUGAAUUUGGUGAAGGAAGUGCAGUAGAGAAAUCCUUAGCUGUGAGUCAAGGUGGAGAGCUCUAUGAAGAGUGGCUGGAACUUGGAAAUGGUUGCCUCUGCUGUUCAGUGAAGGACAGUGGCCUUUGGGCUAUUGAGAAUUUGAUGCAGAAGAAGGGGAAAUUUGAUUACAUACUGUUAGAGACCACUGGGUUGGCAGAUCCUGGUGCUGUGGCUUCUAUAUUUUGGGUUGAUGCUGAGCUAGGGAGUGAUAUUUAUCUUGAUGGUAUCAUAACUGUUGUAGAUUCAAAGUAUGGAUUAAAACAUUUAGCAGAAGAAAAACCAGAUGGCCUCACCAAUGAAGCU
Molecule: RNA transcript, 693 nt
Organism: Octodon degus (degu)
Lineage: Eukaryota; Metazoa; Chordata; Mammalia; Rodentia; Octodontidae
Gene name: COBW domain-containing protein 1 pseudogene
Exons: 2
Source: RefSeq, a predicted model, not a curated record